Molecule: microRNA precursor, 83 nt
Filed under: Tupaia belangeri (northern tree shrew)
Lineage: Eukaryota; Metazoa; Chordata; Mammalia; Scandentia; Tupaiidae
Description: miRNA (ENSTBEG00000019976.1)
Source: RNAcentral
GAGGGUUUGUGUGUGUGUGCACAUGUGUGUGUAUUUAUAUCUAUAGGGAGUUUAUACAUACACACACACACACAAACUAUCUA